UAGCCGGUCUAGUCCCCCGCCUGGGUAAAUCGUGUAGCUUAACUAUACGACUUCCGGGUAGACUGCUAAACUUGAGACCGGGAGAGGCUAGAGGUACUCCUGGGGUAGAGGUGGGGUUCUGUAAUCCUAGGGGGACCACCAGUGGCGAAGGCGUCUAGCUAGAACGGGUCUGACGGUGAGGGACGAAGCCCUGGGGCACAAACCGGAUUAGAUACCCGGGUAGUCCAGGGUGUAAACGCUGCUUGCUUGAUGUUAGUUGGGCUCCGAGCCCAACUAGUGUCGGAGAGAAGUUGUUAAGCAAGCUGCCUGGGAAGUACGGUCGCAAGGCUGAAACUUAAAGGAAUUGGCGGGGGAGCACAGCAACGGGUGGAGCGUGCGGUUUAAUUGGAUUCAACGCCGGAAAACUCACCGGAGGCGACGGUUACAUGAAGGCCAGGCUGAUGACCUUGCCUGAUUUUCCGAGAGGUGGUGCAUGGCCGCCGUCAGUUCGUACCGUAAGGCGUUCUGUUAAGUCAGACAACGAACGAGACCCUCACCUUUAAUUGCUACUGGUAAGUUCGCUUACUGGGCACAUUAGAGAAACCGCUGGCGAUAAGUCAGAGGAAGGCGAGGGCAACGGUAGGUCAGUAUGCCCUGAAUCCUCCGGGCUACACGCGCGCUACAAAGGCUAGGACAAUGAGCUUCAACACCGAGAGGUGGAGGUAUCUCGAAACCUAGUCGUAGUUCGGAUUGAGGGUUGAACUCACCUCAUGAGC
RNAcentral lists this ribosomal RNA (755 nucleotides) under uncultured archaeon. Its description in RNAcentral is "bacterial SSU rRNA". It matches the Rfam family "Archaeal small subunit ribosomal RNA", at positions 522 to 1282 of the family's 1478-position model. The record is from RNAcentral.